CUUAGGAUUGUCAAAGGACAGUGGUAGGGGAGCGUCGUGUACGGGGUGAAGUCUGAGCGGAAGCACAGGUGGACUGUACAGGAGUGAGAAUGCCGGAAUGAGUAGCGAGAAUUAUGUGGGAAUCAUAAUGGCCGAAAAUCUAAGGUUUCUUGGGGAAGGCUCGUCCGCCCAAGGUAAGCCGGGAGCUAAGGCGAGGCCGCGAGGCGUAGUCGAUGCACAUACGGUAGAAAUUCCGUAGCCACCGAACCUUAAACCGGAAGGACACUUGCAGAUAGCGGAACCCAGCCGUUGGUUGAGCUGGGCGUAAGGGACUGAAAUAUAGUAGGGAAGUCCGCGAUGCUGUGAGGCGAGAAAAGCUCCGGUGUAUGCUAAGGUGCCCGUACCGCAAACCGACACAGGUAGAUGAGGAGAGAAUCCUAAGGCCAACGGGAGAAGGGUUGUUAAGGAACUCGGCAAAUUGACCCCGUAACUUCGGAAGAAGGGGAGCCUCGAAAGAGGCCGCAGUGAAUAGGCCCAAGCAACUGUUUACCAAAAACACAGGUCUAUGCUAAAUCGAAAGAUGACGUAUAUGGGCUGACGCCUGCCCGGUGCCGGAAGGUUAAGAGGAGGGCUUAGGGAAACCGAAGGUCUGAAUUGAAGCCCCGGUAAACGGCGGCCGUAACUAUAACGGUCCUAAGGUAGCGAAAUUCCCUGUCAGGUAAGUUCUGACCCGCACGAAUGGCGUAUGAUUUGGGCACUGUCUCGACAGCCCGCCCGGCGAAAUUGUAGUACUGGUGAAGAUGCCAGUUACCCGCAACUAGACGGAAAGACCCCAUGGAGCUUUACUGCAGUUUAAUACUGGGAAUCGGUAAUUCAUGUACAGGAUAGGUGGGAGACUGAGAAGCAUGGCCGUCAGGUCGUGUGGAGUCACCGGUGGGAUACCACUCUUGGAUUGCUGGCUUCCUAACCUGCGGCCCUGAAUCGGGUCGGGGGACACUGUUAGACGGGCAGUUUGACUGGGGCGGUCGCCUCCAAAAGAGUAACGGAGGCGCUCAAAGGUUCGUUCAGCACGGACGGAAAUCGUGCAUCGAGUGUAAACGCAUAAACGAGCCUAACUGCGAGACCGACGGGUCGAGCAGUAACGAAAGUUGGAGUUAGUGAUCCGGUGGUAUGUGAGUGGAAAUGCCAUCGCUCAACGGAUAAAAGCUACCCUGGGAUAACAGGCUGAUCUCCCCCAAGCGUCCACAGCGACGGGGAGGUUUGGCACCUCGAUGUCGGCUCGUCGCAUCCUGGGGCUGUAUUCGGUCCCAAGGGUUUGGCUGUUCGCCAAUUAAAGCGGCACGCGAGCUGGGUUCAGAACGUCGUGAGACAGUUCGGUCCCUAUCUGUUGCGGGCGUAAGAGAUUUGAAGGGAGCUGUCCUUAGUACGAGAGGACCGGGAUGGACGUACCUCUGGUGCACCAGUUGUCCUGCCAAGGGCAUAGCUGGGUAGCUAUGUACGGACGAGAUAAACGCUGAAAGCAUCUAAGCGUGAAACUCUCCCUAAGAUGAGAUCUCUCAUCCUUUAUGGAGUAAGGGCCCAGAAAGACGAUCUGGUUGAUAGGCCGGAGGUGGAAGUGCAGUAAUGCAUGUAGCUGACCGGUACUAAUAGCCCGAGGGCUUGAUC
Molecule: ribosomal RNA, 1644 nt
Filed under: metagenome
Description: bacterial LSU rRNA
Rfam family: Bacterial large subunit ribosomal RNA
Source: RNAcentral